GAUGAACGCUGACAGAAUGCUUAACACAUGCAAGUCGAUGGGGAAGUGGUGCUUGCACCAUGGCAACCAUGGCGGACGGGUGAGUAACGCGUAAGGGACUUACCUGCAGGACUGGGAUAACAGGGGGAAACUCCUGACAAGACCGGAUAAUGUCAUGGAGCUGCAUGGCUUUAUGAUGAAAGGAGACGCCUGCGGAGAGCCUUGCGUCCUAUUAGCUAGUUGGUGAGGUAAUGGCUCACCAAGGCGAAGAUAGGUAGCCGGCCUGAGAGGGUGGACGGCCACAAGGGGACUGAGAUACGGCCCUUACUCCUACGGGAGGCAGCAGUGGGGAAUAUUGGACAAUGGGGGCAACCCUGAUCCAGCAAUUCUGUGUGCACGAAGAAGGUUUUCGGAUUGUAAAGUGCUUUCAGCAGGGAAGAAGUAAGUGACGGUACCUGCAGAAGAAACGACGGCUAAAUACGU
This 462-nucleotide ribosomal RNA is filed under the name uncultured bacterium. Its description in RNAcentral is "partial 16S ribosomal RNA". It matches the Rfam family "Bacterial small subunit ribosomal RNA", at positions 28 to 506 of the family's 1533-position model. The record is from RNAcentral.